This 661-nucleotide unclassified non-coding RNA is filed under the name Hevea brasiliensis (rubber tree). Lineage: Eukaryota; Viridiplantae; Streptophyta; Magnoliopsida; Malpighiales; Euphorbiaceae. The record is from RNAcentral.
GUCUUUUGAACUUGAUACUGCUGCUCUGCCUAGCUAUCUUUAUAACCUUGUUGAUCUUGGUGAUGUGAAAGUUGGAAAGGAGAAGCUGGAUGCUGAAGCAAUUGGUUCCCAUUCAAAGUCUUCCGAACAUGAAGUGCAACCUAUAAAGGGUUCUGAGAAGGUUUGCACCCCUAAGAAUCUCAAAAGUGGUCCUCAAAUGGGGAUUUCAGCACUUUCAAUAUCUUCAGGAGAAUCAACUGGGACAUGUAAGGAUGAUGAUCAAAUUGAUGUGGAUCAAAGGGCAAAAAAUGAAGACUGUAACAAAGUUGCAAGACACGGCAGGCUAACUCAACCUGAAGGAAUCAGUACUUCCUUUCAGGCUACUGAGAAGAGUGGAAGCCCUAAAAAACGGGAGAAAUUUGUGUCAUAUGCCUUGACACCUAGAAGAUCUCCUAGAGAUUUAAGCAAGGGAAGUACUCCAGUAAAUGCAAGUCAGUCUACAGCAGAAGACGCUGACAAGCAUAAUUCAACAAACAAAGAUGGAGGACACGGGCAACCAGGUGCUUCCUCAUGUCAGCCUGAUAAUAAAAUGCAUUUCCAUGUGAAGAAUGGAAGUUUAGUCAGUCCCACGAAAGGUCAGGAGUCUUCAGAUUGUAAGGUUAUAGAAGUAGAGCACUAUGAU